AAAUGUACGCUAAUAUAUUUACACGCUUUUACUAAGCCCCAAAAUAUCCAUAUUAAUAUACAGCCACAUUUAGACUUCCUAUAACUAAAGUAAAUUAUAAAUCCAUAGUUUUACUUUAAUAAACACAGCAACACAUGUCUUCACUUCCCCCUACCGAUUCCUUCAGUUGGUAUUUCCCAGACCUAUAAAGUGGUGGUCAUGGACGCUGGGAAGUCAUUUGCCAGAUCACCCUGGGGAGAGGAGACAUGUUCCAGAGAUCCCUGGGAGGAAGACACCUGUAACAGGAUCUAAAGAGUGGGAGUGCGUUGUUACAUUCAACCCCAUGUAUUAAUUUACACUUCCCUGGACCAGGUACCUGGAUCACAG
Long non-coding RNA from Pseudoliparis swirei, 366 nucleotides. RefSeq lists it as uncharacterized. The transcript is spliced from 3 exons. NCBI's taxonomy places the organism in Eukaryota, Metazoa, Chordata, Actinopteri, Perciformes, Liparidae. The record is from RefSeq and is a predicted model, not a curated record.